CCUACGGGAGGCAGCAGUGGGGAAUUUUGGACAAUGGGGGCAACCCUGAUCCAGCCAUCCCGCGUGUGCGAUGAAGGCCUUCGGGUUGUAAAGCACUUUUGGCAGGGAAGAAAAGGCGCGGGCUAAUACCUUGCGCCGCUGACGGUACCUGCAGAAUAAGCACCGGCUAACUACGUGCCAGCAGCCGCGGUAAU
RNAcentral lists this ribosomal RNA (194 nucleotides) under uncultured bacterium. RNAcentral's name for it is "partial 16S ribosomal RNA". It matches the Rfam family "Bacterial small subunit ribosomal RNA", at positions 338 to 524 of the family's 1533-position model. The record is from RNAcentral.